ACAGAAAACUUUCCAUGAACACACAAAAAUGCUUUCCAAAUAUGUUUGGAAUGCAUUCAGAAGUCUGCUUUCUCUCAGUAAAUUUAAAUUAUGCAAGGGCAUCAGAACAUGUGAUGAGGCAAAUGAAGAAAGAACAUUGGAUGGAGAAGACUGCUGCUAAACAGCCAAGAAAAUUUUCGAUUGGAAAAACAACUUGGUGGAUGAGUUUUGCUUCAUGUUCACAAUCCAGUUGAGGUCAAAAAGAGUUUCCCCCCAUGGAACAUUGUGUCUUACCAACAUUUUGGAAUGUGACAGAGCGGUUCGAGGAGGAGGAAAUGCAUAAUCUGCUGUUGCCAAAUCUGGAUAUAAAACCUACAAUUUCAAGAACAAAAUUUAAAAGCAAGCUGUAUGUUGGCAAAAUGUUUCUAGAUUUGUUUUUAAAACAUUUUUUACAUUUUAAAU
Molecule: long non-coding RNA, 441 nt
Organism: Candoia aspera
Lineage: Eukaryota; Metazoa; Chordata; Lepidosauria; Squamata; Candoiidae
Exons: 3
Source: RefSeq, a predicted model, not a curated record